RNAcentral lists this ribosomal RNA (363 nucleotides) under uncultured bacterium. RNAcentral's name for it is "partial 16S ribosomal RNA". It matches the Rfam family "Bacterial small subunit ribosomal RNA", at positions 338 to 698 of the family's 1533-position model. The record is from RNAcentral.
CCUACGGGUGGCAGCAGUGAGGAAUAUUGGUCAAUGGACGAGAGUCUGAACCAGCCAAGUAGCGUGAAGGAUGACUGCCCUAUGGGUUGUAAACUGCUUUUAUACGGGAAUAAAAUGUGACACGCGUGGGAUUUUGUAUGUACCAUAUGAAUAAGGAUCGGCUAACUCCGUGCCAGCAGCCGCGGUAAUACGGAGGAUCCGAGCGUUAUCCGGAUUUAUUGGGUUUAAAGGGUGCGUAGACGGGUUGUUAAGUCAGUUGUGAAAGUCUGCGGCUCAACCGUAAAAUUGCCAUUGAUACUGGCAGUCUUUAGUACAGUUGCGGUAGGCGGAAUUCGUGGUGUAGCGGUGAAAUUCUUAGAUAUC